RNAcentral lists this small RNA (91 nucleotides) under Salix viminalis (osier). Lineage: Eukaryota; Viridiplantae; Streptophyta; Magnoliopsida; Malpighiales; Salicaceae. The record is from RNAcentral.
GAGGAAAUUGAGGAGGAAUCGCUUGAGAUCCACCCGUUUUUCGCCUUAAAUGAUGAUGACAUGUUUAUACAAGCUCUACCAUUGUUUCUGC